This 75-nucleotide transfer RNA is filed under the name Marmota monax (woodchuck). RNAcentral describes it as "tRNA.Ser". Lineage: Eukaryota; Metazoa; Chordata; Mammalia; Rodentia; Sciuridae. The record is from RNAcentral.
CUGUGGUUGUGGCUCAGUGGUAGAGCGCUUACCUAGAAUGUGUGAGGCACUGGGUUCAAUCGCUGGUACCACAUA